Molecule: non-coding RNA, 28 nt
Filed under: Mus musculus (house mouse)
Lineage: Eukaryota; Metazoa; Chordata; Mammalia; Rodentia; Muridae
Source: RNAcentral
CUUAUUCUUCUGGUGCAUGCUGGUGUCU